This 2487-nucleotide unclassified non-coding RNA is filed under the name Aplysia californica (California sea hare). RNAcentral's name for it is "heat shock protein 70 B2, transcript variant X1". Lineage: Eukaryota; Metazoa; Mollusca; Gastropoda; Aplysiida; Aplysiidae. The record is from RNAcentral.
AGAACCUACACUUGAGUAACGAUCGUUUACGAUCUAUAACCAGCUGUAGAACAGAAACCUACGACUCUUCUAAAGUUUUGUGUUAUUCCGAUCGGUCCAGUCGCAGCCACUGUUUGGUGUUUACUAUAAUAAGUGUACAGUACAAUAAGAUAAUAUUUUCACAAGACUUGGUGUGUUCAACAUCGAUUGGGAGUGUGCAUCGUUCACUACAAAGAUAUAAGACAAAAUAAAGAUGACCAAAGGCAUGAAGACUCCCGCCAUCGGCAUUGACCUGGGCACCACCUACUCCUGUGUGGGGAUUUUCCAGCACGGCAAGGUGGAGAUCAUCGCUAACGACCAGGGCAACAGGACCACGCCCAGCUAUGUGGCCUUCACAGACACCGAGAGACUGGUGGGAGACGCGGCCAAAAACCAGGCUGCUCUCAACCCCAGCAACACCAUCUUUGACGCCAAGAGACUGAUAGGUCGCAAGUUCACCGACAAGUCCGUUCAGUCGGACAUGAAGCACUGGCCGUUCCAAGUGGCGGAGGUGGACAGCCGGCCAAAGAUUGAGGCCGAGUACAAAGGAGAGAGGAAAUUGUUUGCCCCUGAAGAAGUGAGCUCCAUGGUUCUGAGCAAAAUGAAGGAAACCGCCGAGGCGUACCUGGGCCAGAAAGUGACGGAGGCUGUGAUCACAGUCCCCGCUUACUUCAACGACUCCCAGAGACAGGCCACCAAAGACGCCGGUGCCAUUGCUGGCCUGAACGUUCUGAGAAUGAUCAAUGAGCCCACAGCAGCGGCCCUCGCCUACGGCCUUGACAAAGGACAGAGUGGAGAGAAAAACGUGCUCAUCUUUGACCUUGGAGGAGGCACGUUUGAUGUGAGCGUCCUCACCAUUGACGAGGGCUCCAUGUUUGAAGUGAAAGCCACAUCGGGGGAUACACAUCUGGGAGGCGAGGACUUUGACAACCGACUCGUGUCUCAUUUCCUGCAAGAGUUCAAGCGGAAACAUAACAAAGACAUCAGCAAAAAUGCCAGAGCCACCAGACGUCUGCGCACAGCCUGCGAGAGAGCCAAAAGAACUCUGUCCAGCAGUUCGGAGGCGUCCAUCGAGAUCGACUCGUUGUUCGAGGGCAUGGACUACUACACGAAAAUCUCCAGAGCCAGAUUCGAGGAAUUGUGUGCGGAUCUGUUCAGAAGCACCCUGGAGCCGGUGGAAAGCGCUCUAAGAGACGCCAAACUGGACAAAGGCAAAAUCGACGAGGUGGUGCUGGUGGGAGGCUCCACGCGUAUCCCGAAAAUCCAGAAACUUCUGAGCGACUUUUUCAACGGGAAAGAGUUGAACAAGUCCAUCAACCCCGAUGAGGCCGUGGCGUAUGGCGCUGCAGUCCAAGCCGCUGUUCUGACGGGGGACAAGAGUGAGGCCAUCAGAGACGUGUUGCUCGUGGACGUGGCUCCCCUGUCUCUGGGCAUCGAGACGGCGGGCGGCGUGAUGACCUCUCUCAUCAAACGAGGCAGCACCAUUCCCGCCAAGACCUCCCAGGUGUUCACCACCUACUCGGACAACCAGCCAGGUGUGGACAUUCAGGUGUUUGAAGGGGAGAGAGCUAUGACCAAAGACAACAACCUCCUGGGCAAAUUCCAACUGUCGGGCAUCCCUCCGGCACCCCGUGGUGUGCCCCAGAUUGAGGUCACCUUUGACGUGGACGCUAACGGAAUUCUCAACGUGACAGCUCAAGACAAAAGCACGGGGAAAAGUAGCCACAUCACCAUCAAGAACGAAAGAGGGCGACUGAGCCAGGCGGAGAUUGACAGGAUGCUGGCCGAUGCGGACAAGUACAAGGACGAAGAUGAGAAGCAAAGAGAACGAGUUUCGGCUCGCAACCAGCUAGAAACGUACAUUUUCCACGUGAAGCAGGCGGUAGAUGCAGCUGGAGACAAGCUGCCCUCUCCUGAUAAGGACGCUGUUCUCAAGGCCUGCAAUGACUCUCUCAGCUGGCUAGACAACAACAGUCUGGCCGACAAGGAAGAAGUGGAAGAUCGUCUGAAGGAACUCCAGAAGACAACCUCGUCUGUGAUGGCCAAACUCCACACCCAGGGUCAGUCUCAAGGUCAAGGAAGUUCACAGGGUUCAUCGGGUCCACAUGGACCCAGUGUUGAGGAGAUGGACUAAUCUACCCUUACCUUGUAUCCUAAUCAUUGAUCUCAAGACACUUUCAAACAGUAUUUUCACAUGGUUUUGUUAAAAGCUUGUAUGUACAUCUUGUCUAUAAUCUAAAAAUAUUUAAGUACAAGCAGUGGUAUUACCAUGUGUUAGCCUUUAUCAAAUUGAUGUAUUAUUUGCUGUAAGUAAAUAAUUAUACAUUAACAGUUUACUUUAUGCUUGAGCUGUAUAAAAAUACAUGUACAUUGUAUAAACAUGUAAAAAGUAUUUUUUUAAAUUUCCAUGUUAUGUUUGGUGCUACACACAUACAAAAUGUAUUGUUGUUUUGUUUCUGAAAAUGAAAA